Sycon ciliatum is the source of this 819-nucleotide long non-coding RNA. RefSeq lists it as uncharacterized. The record is from RefSeq and is a predicted model, not a curated record. NCBI's taxonomy places the organism in Eukaryota, Metazoa, Porifera, Calcarea, Leucosolenida, Sycettidae. The transcript has 4 exons.
UAACCUUCACAUCCUCAUAUUUACACCUGUCCAUAUAUGACAUUAGAAUAGCAUGCUGCGUACUACUUCCCGUACUACCGGUACCUUUUCUAGUACUCACAUAUUGUACAACUUUACACACCAAGAUAAAAUAACAAGGAUGACAGCCCUUCAGGGUUAGUUGUCGGUUAGCCGGACAAGAGUGGGUUGUUGGUGUGUCCUCCCCUAGGCCCUUCACAGAAACAUAGAAGAGAUCAAGCAGAUGGAAUCAAGAGGCAGCAAGAAGGAGACCAAAACGUAUUUGAUGGUGAGCCCAAUGGUGACCCGGACGCCUUGAUCAACGUUGGUAUCGCUAUGGACGUAGUCGAUCAAAAGCACGAAGCCGCAGCAGCUGCAGCAUCGAACGACUAAAGGCCACUAGCGGAGUAUUGCCAGGACCUACCGGCCUGCUCAAAUCUCACUGCAAGUGCUGCAUGCAACAAGCCUGCGUAACCUUGGUAACUGUCGCCCUGAUCACCCAGCAAGGCCAGCCAAGGCCAAUGGACCGGGCUGCAAGCAGAUCACUAUUGACUUCUGUACUGUGCUCUAGACUAGCGUGACAAUGCUGUAGUCCACCCCGGCACUGGCUUCUGUAUAUAACUCUGUAAGGUGUUCGCAAGGCACCAGCCAUUAUUAUCACAUGCUGCAUUCGACCAUAAUAAUGCACAUUGAAAUUUGUUUGCACUAUGCCUGUGAAGCAUGCAUAACAGAUUCUAAAUCGUAUUCUCUUUAUUUUAAGUCGACAAUGAGAUGGUAAAAAUGAUAAUUGGCUUGUGAGCAACACUGGCUCACACUCAAUCA